Molecule: ribosomal RNA, 541 nt
Filed under: Anabaena sphaerica ISB23
Lineage: Bacteria; Bacillati; Cyanobacteriota; Cyanophyceae; Nostocales; Nostocaceae
Description: bacterial SSU rRNA
Rfam family: Bacterial small subunit ribosomal RNA
Source: RNAcentral
ACGGGUGAGUAACGCGUGAGAAUCUGGCUCCAGGUCGGGGACAACAGUUGGAAACGACUGCUAAUACCGGAUGUGCCGAAAGGUGAAAGAUUUAUUGCCUGGAGAUGAGCUCGCGUCUGAUUAGCUAGUUGGUAGUGUAAUGGACUACCAAGGCGACGAUCAGUAGCUGGUCUGAGAGGAUGAUCAGCCACACUGGGACUGAGACACGGCCCAGACUCCUACGGGAGGCAGCAGUGGGGAAUUUUCCGCAAUGGGCGAAAGCCUGACGGAGCAAUACCGCGUGAGGGAGGAAGGCUCUUGGGUCGUAAACCUCUUUUCUCAAGGAAGAAAAAAAUGACGGUACUUGAGGAAUAAGCAUCGGCUAACUCCGUGCCAGCAGCCGCGGUAAUACGGAGGAUGCAAGCGUUAUCCGGAAUGAUUGGGCGUAAAGGGUCUGUAGGUGGUGCUGUAAGUCUGCUGUUAAAGAGCAAGGCUCAACCUUGUAAGAGCAGUGGAAACUACAGGACUAGAGUGCGGUAGGGGCAAAAGGAAUUCCUGGUGU